This is an unclassified non-coding RNA of Ictidomys tridecemlineatus (thirteen-lined ground squirrel), 204 nucleotides long. The record is from Ensembl. NCBI's taxonomy places the organism in Eukaryota, Metazoa, Chordata, Mammalia, Rodentia, Sciuridae.
GGGCAGCGGACAGUUUUGCUUGGAUCUCUGAGGCGGCCACGUGGCCAUACGUUCAACGUUCUGAGAUGCCUGUGCCCUGAGCCAGCCAGAAAGUGACUUACAGCGGAAAACAGGAUUUGAAUGACUUCUGCUCUGGGGAGGCCCCUCAGUAUAAACAGAGAGAAUUUCUGGGAAAUGUACAUAAAGCCAGGCUUUCGGGAAAGG